GUGGGAUUGGUCUGAAUUCCUUUGGAGCAGGUGGGAUUGGUCCAAAUUCCUUUGGAGCAGGUGGGAUUGGUCCGAAUUCCUUUGGAGCAGGUGGGAUUGGUCCGAAUUCCUUUGGGAGCAGGUGGGAUUGGUCCGAAUUCCUUUGGGAGCAGGUGGGAUUGGUCCGAAUUCCUUUGGAGCAGGUGGGAUUGGUCAGAAUUCCUUUGGGAGCAGGUGGGAUUGGUUAGAAUUCCUUUAGGAGCAGGUGGGAUUGGUCAGAAUUCCUUUGAAGCAUGUGGGAUUGGUCAGAAUUCCUUUGAAGCAGGUGGGAUUGGUCCGAAUUCCUUUGGGAAUAGGUGGGAUUGGUCAGAAUAUC
This is a long non-coding RNA of Ictalurus punctatus (channel catfish), 355 nucleotides long. Lineage: Eukaryota; Metazoa; Chordata; Actinopteri; Siluriformes; Ictaluridae. The record is from Ensembl.